RNAcentral lists this ribosomal RNA (445 nucleotides) under uncultured bacterium. RNAcentral's name for it is "partial 16S ribosomal RNA". It matches the Rfam family "Bacterial small subunit ribosomal RNA", at positions 354 to 796 of the family's 1533-position model. The record is from RNAcentral.
GUAGGGAAUAUUGGGCAAUGGAGGCAACUCUGACCCAGCCAUGUCGCGUGCAGGAAGACGGUCCUCUGGAUUGUAAACUGCUUUUGAAUGGGAAGAAACGUAGCUUUGCGAAGCUAUUUGACGGUACUAUUAGAAUAAGCACCGGCUAACUCCGUGCCAGCAGCCGCGGUAAUACGGAGGGUGCAAGCGUUAUCCGGAUUUAUUGGGUUUAAAGGGUGCGUAGGCGGCUUUAUAAGUCUGGGGUUAAAGGCGGCAGCUUAACUGUACGCAUGCCCUGGAAACUGUGAAGCUUGAGUGACUUGGAGGUAGCUAGAAUUCCCUGUGUAGCGGUGAAAUGCAUAGAUACGGGGAGGAAUACCGAUUGCGAAGGCAUGUUACUACGAGUAAACUGACGCUGAUGCACGAAAGCGUGGGGAUCAAACAGGAUUAGAUACCCGGGUAGUCC